This 332-nucleotide ribosomal RNA is filed under the name uncultured bacterium. RNAcentral describes it as "bacterial SSU rRNA". It matches the Rfam family "Bacterial small subunit ribosomal RNA", at positions 568 to 898 of the family's 1533-position model. The record is from RNAcentral.
UAGGUAGGUGGUCUCAUUUGUCUGGGGUGAAAUCCUUGGGCUUAACUCAAGAAGUGCCCCGGAAACGGUGAGACUAGAGUGCUGGAGAGGGUCGUGGAAUUCCCGGUGUAGCGGUGAAAUGCGUAGAGAUCGGGAGGAACACCAGAGGCGAAGGCGGCGACCUGGACAGUGACUGACACUCAACUACGAAAGCGUGGGGAGCAAACAGGAUUAGAUACCCUGGUAGUCCACGCUGUAAACGAUGGGUACUAGGUUUGGUGGGUCUUGACCCCCGCUGAACCGGCGCUAACGCACUAAGUACCCCGCCUGGGAAGUACGGUCGCAAGACUAAA